This 1025-nucleotide ribosomal RNA is filed under the name Lonchoptera lutea. RNAcentral's name for it is "eukaryotic LSU rRNA". It matches the Rfam family "Eukaryotic large subunit ribosomal RNA", at positions 1469 to 2322 of the family's 3401-position model. Lineage: Eukaryota; Metazoa; Arthropoda; Insecta; Diptera; Lonchopteridae. The record is from RNAcentral.
AAUCGAAUGAGACCUUGGAGGACUGAAGUGGAGAAGGGUUUCGUGUGAACAGUGGUUGAUCACGAGUUAGUCGGUCCUAAGUUCAAGGCGAAAGCCGAAAUUUUUAAGUUAUUUUUAAUAUAUAAAUAAUAAUAUAAAUUAUAAUAUACUUAAAAUUUUUUGAACGAAAGGGAAUACGGUUCCAAUUCCGUAACCUGUUGAGUAUACGUUUGUUAUUAAAAAUGGGCCUUGUGCUCAUCCUGGUAACAGGAACAACCAUAAAGAAGCCGUCGAGAGAUAUCGAAAGAGUUUUCUUUUCUGUUUUAUAGUUGUACUACCAUGGAAGUCUUUCGAAGAGAGAUAUGGUAGAUGAACUAGAAGAGCAUGGCAUUUACUGUUGUGUCGAUAUUUUCUCCUCGGACCUUGAAAAUUUAUGGUGGGGUCACGCAAAUUUCUCAACAGGCCGUACCGAUAUCCGCAGCUGGUCUCCAAGGUGAAGAGUCUCUAGUCGAUAGAAUAAUGUAGGUAAGGGAAGUCGCCAAAUUAGAUCCGUAACUUCGGGAUAAGGAUUGGCUCUGAAGAUUGAGAUAGUCGGGCUUGAUUGGGAAACAAUAUCAUGGUUUAUAUGCUCGUUCUGGGUAAAUAGAAAUAUUAUAAUUCUUUUCGGAGAAUUUAAUAUUUUGUUCCUCGGAUAGUUUAAGUUAUAUAGCCAAUUGUGGAAAUUUCUUGCUAAUAAUGUAAUUAAUUAUUUUCAUAUUUUAUUUGUAAUUUUCGGAUUGUGAAUUAAUAUGAAAAAAAAUUUUAUAUUAACGACUAUCAAUUAACAAUCAAUUCAGAACUGGCACGGACUUGGGGAAUCCGACUGUCUAAUUAAAACAAAGCAUUGUGAUGGCCCUAACGGGUGUUGACACAAUGUGAUUUCUGCCCAGUGCUCUGAAUGUCAAAGUGAAGAAAUUCAAGUAAGCGCGGGUAAACGGCGGGAGUAACUAUGACUCUCUUAAGGUAGCCAAAUGCCUCGUCAUCUAAUUAGUGACGCGCAUGAAUGG